UAAAAAGUUAGUUAAAUUAUAAUAUUAGGUUGUCAGCCUAACGUUACUAACCCUACUUAGUACUUUUUAU
This 70-nucleotide transfer RNA is filed under the name Naria erosa. RNAcentral describes it as "tRNA-Asp". The record is from RNAcentral. Lineage: Eukaryota; Metazoa; Mollusca; Gastropoda; Littorinimorpha; Cypraeidae.